Molecule: ribosomal RNA, 253 nt
Filed under: uncultured bacterium
Lineage: Bacteria
Description: partial 16S ribosomal RNA
Rfam family: Bacterial small subunit ribosomal RNA
Source: RNAcentral
UACGUAGGGGGCUAGCGUUGUCCGGAAUCAUUGGGCGUAAAGCGCGUGUAGGCGGUCCGGUAAGUCCGCUGUGAAAGUCGGGGGCUCAACCCUCGGAUGCCGGUGGAUACUGUCGGGCUUGAGUACGGAAGAGGAGAGUGGAAUUCCUGGUGUAGCGGUGAAAUGCGUAGAUAUCAAGAGGAACACCAGUGGCGAAGGCGAGUCCCUGGACAACACCUGACACUGAGGCACGAAAGCUAGGGGAGCAAACAGG